GAUGAACGCUGGCGGCGUGCCUAAUACAUGCAAGUCGAGCGAACGGACGCGGAGCUUGCUUCUCUGAUGUUAGCGGCGGACGGGUGAGUAACACGUGGAUAACCUACCUAUAAGACUGGGAUAACUUCGGGAAACCGUCUCUUAUACCGGAUAAUAUUUUGCACCGCAUGGUUCAAAAGUGAAAGACGGUCUUGCUGUCUCUUAUCGCUGGAUCCGCGCUGCAUUAGCUAGUUGGUAAGGUAAAGGCUUACCAAGGCAACGCUGCAUAGCCGACCUGAGAGGGGGAUAGGCCACACUGGAACGGAGACACGGUCAAGACGCCUACGAGAGGCAGCAGUAGGGAAUCGGCCGCAAUGGUCGAAAGCAUUACGGAGCAACGCCGCGUGAGAUAUGAAGGUCUUCGGAUCGUAAAACUCGGUUAUGAGGGAAGAACAGAUGUGGAAGUAACUGUGGACAUCGUGACGGUACCUAAUCAGAAAGCCACGGCUAACUACGUG
RNAcentral lists this ribosomal RNA (497 nucleotides) under uncultured bacterium. Its description in RNAcentral is "partial 16S ribosomal RNA". It matches the Rfam family "Bacterial small subunit ribosomal RNA", at positions 28 to 507 of the family's 1533-position model. The record is from RNAcentral.